Molecule: long non-coding RNA, 3548 nt
Organism: Ictalurus punctatus (channel catfish)
Lineage: Eukaryota; Metazoa; Chordata; Actinopteri; Siluriformes; Ictaluridae
Source: Ensembl
CGUGUAGAGACCCUGUGACACCCUGAUGUUCGCAGGUGGUAUGCGGCAUGUCGUAAAUGCCAGCCAGCCCAAAAACACCACUGUACCAUCUUCCAUUUGAAAGGAUGGACCUCGUCAGACACCCACACAGAGCGACCGAGAGAGAGAGAGAGAGAGAGACACACACAAAGAGUGAGACAGAGAGAGAGAGACACAGAAAGAGAGAGACGCACACAAAGAGCGAGACAGAGAGAGAGAGGCAUACACAAAGAGAAACAGAGAGAGACACAGCGAGAGACACACACACAAAGAGUCAGACUGAGUGAGAGACACAGAGAGAGACACACACACAAACACAAAGAGUGAGACUGCGAGAGAGAGAGGCACACACACAAAGAGUGAGACUGAGAGAGAGACAGAGAGAGACACACACACAAACACAAAGAGUGAGACCGCGAGAGAGAGGCACACACACAAAGAGUGAGACCGCGAGAGAGAGGCACACACACAAAGAGUGAGACUGAGAGAGAGACAGAGAGAGACACACACACACAAACACAAAGAGUGAGACUGCGAGAGAGAGGCACACACACAAAGAGUGAGACUGAGAGAGAGACAGAGAGAGACACACACACACAAACACAAAGAGUGAGACCGCGAGAGAGAGGCACACACACAAAGAGUGAGACUGAGAGAGAGACACAGAGAGAGACACACACACACAAACACAAAGAGUGAGACCGCGAGAGAGAGGCACACACACAAAGAGUGAGACUGAGAGAGAGACACAGAGAGAGACACACACACACACACAUAGAGAGAGACUGAGACAGAGAGAGAGAGACAGAGAGUUAAUCACGAAUGGUUCUUAUAAUCUCUUGUCUAUAUGAAGCCGUUAUCGAGUCUUCUCCGGACGCAGUGCGGAGCGCUGCGUGUGUAAACUCGUGUCCAACCGCAGCUGUUGGUCUCGUAACUCAUUAGCGCAGCUUCUAAACGAGCUGUUAUACAUGGUCUCAGAGUUCUGAGCACGCGCCUGUGUUGGAGAAGGUAAUUAACUGCGUUUUACCCGUGCGUGUAAGACUAGCACCAGGAGCGACAGUGACGAUGUGAUGAUCUCUGGCUCUGUGAGGAGGCGUGAUGACUCAGCUGUUCACGCUCUGUGUGUGUGUGUGUGCUGUGAGUGCUGUGUGAAGGUUAACCACGAAGACCAAGCGCUGCAGGGAUUCUGAAUCCGCCGCAGGUUUCCCAGGUUUCCGAUGCGGCUGCUGAACGCGGCAGGGGGUCGUGCUGGAGUUUCUGCUGGACUCGGAGCGGUGUCAGGGUUACCAAGCGCUCUCUUUCUUCACAGUCUGCGUCGUUUCUUUGUUUUUGUCUUGUUUUCUCUUCGGCUCUGACCUAGUAAAGAUUUGUGUGUGUAAAAAAAAAAAAAAAAAAAAAAAAACGUGAAAAUUUCAUAAUAAAAGUACAUGUUUAUUUAGUAACAGGGUUUCUGAACAAUUGCAGGUGCAAAGUUUCCGGGGGUAACUGUUAGUCUGUAGUCUGUAGUUGUUGUUUAUUUGUUAUAUAUAUAUAUAUAUAUGUAUAUAUAUGUAUUGUUAAUCAGUCCCUCCAGGAUGUAGCGAUUUUUGCGAUCGCCGAAAUGAACACAAAAUCAAGCGAAUGCAACAACACGCUUGCGAUUUCUCAAAAUUUCCGUGGACUUUCCGCAGAUUCGGGCCAAAAUGCGCCAUGUGACGUCAUCACAACACGCGUUCAUCCCAAGCCCUUUUCGGAAUACAGCUAAACAAGAAUACAGCUAAAAGCUCUCGUUUACCGACGAGCAUCGAGGGGUUUUAAAUUAAAUUUUAAAUUUUAAAAUUUUUCUCCGAAAAGCGCAACAAAAUCGGACGUUUCUUUCGGCCGCAAGGAUCAGAGAGGAACAAUUUCCUAGGACUGCUCCUAAUAGGAAGCACCGUGUUUUUGCAAACAUUAAAUGUAACUGCAAACGGAUAAAAAGUCGUACUCGUUGACAAAUGGCGGCGGUGUUAUAAGACGAAUAACACACUACACGACAUGCUUUUAUUGGAAAUAAUCAACUUCAGGGUGUUAACAAUGACACAACUUCAUCCGUGAUUAUUUUCCUAUAACAGCACAACCCCAAGCACGUUGCUCGUAACUGAGGUGAAUUCCAAUCGUACUGUAAGGAGAUAUUGAUAAAUGUGUGUGUGUGUGUGGGUGUGUGGAGUGUUAGGUUUUUGUCGCACAAGUUUUUAUCGGUAUUUUUGAUUCAGAUGAAUUUCCUCGACGAAGCCGUAGUGCUGACCGAAAGCAUUCGGGUUACGCGCUGCUGUUGUCAGCGGCGUGAAAGAGAUUAAUCACGGCGCUUUGUUUCUUUUCGUUAUCCCAGUCAGCGAACCGACUCGCGCUGACGUGGCCGUGUCUGAUUGCUCGGACGCGUCCAGAGGACCUGACGCUGCGUUUUUGGGCUUCCGUUAUUACGCGGUCGCAGAAGUAAGACGACUAAAAGAAUGGAGCGCUUCCUGUCGAACGCAUUUGUAAAUAUUAUAUUUGACAACAUUUGACACCAAUAAAAUACAAAUGUAAAAAAAAAAAAAAAAAAAAACAUAAUUAUUUCUCUCUCAUUCUUUGUUCUGUCUUUGAACCAGAAAGGAAAAUAUAUAUAUAAAUAAAUAAAUAGUAUACACACACACACACACACACACACACAUCCACCUGUCUUUCUCUUUUCCUUCCUCGCUAUUUCACACCUUUGGAAGUGCAGGGAUUAUUUAUAGUAUCCUUUAAAUGCGCCACCUGAAGUCAACGAGAGUGAAAUUCCCAAUCCGGUACUACAGUGAGAAUGAAAGAGUGCACACGUAGCUGUCCUGCUAGAACACACCACACUAAAGGCUUUAACGGCGUAUUUACACCCUGUGUUCAAUCUCACGAUCUCAUUACGUCCUCCGGUGUUUCCGAUCUCAGGACAUUUUUAUCGGUACCCCCACACACACACACACACACAAGGCGUGGCCGAACACGAAUACAGAGCGAUCCACGCUCGUUAUAUCGUGUUUCCUGGAGACAAUGUGCAAAUGUAUGAGACUUUUCAUUGACGAUUAUUUCGAUACUUUGUAAAUCCCUCUCACAAACGCAUGACAGCUUGUUUAUGGUGAUUAGGCGUCUAUGCUUAGCGUUGUUAUGACUUCGUUCACAUUAGAAGUUUUACGUAUACACACACACACACACACACACACACACACACACACACAAAAAAAAAAAAGCCUCCUUCAUAUGUUCUUUGUGUUCGGGUAUACUUUUCGGGAAUUUAGGCAGGACCCAACAGCAGAGGGUUUUCCUGACAGAUCCAGUGGACUGUUAUUUUGGAUGAGUGUGUGUAUUAAAGGGGUAAGUGUGUGUCCCUACACUGUGUCCCUACACUGUGUCCCUACAUUGUGUCCCUACACUGUGUCCCUUCACUGUGUCCCUACACUGUGUCCCUUCACUGUGUCCCUUCACUGUGUCCCUACACUGUGUCCCUUCACUGUGUCCCUUCACUGUGUCCCUUCACUGUGUCCCUACACUGUGUCCCU